This 106-nucleotide small nuclear RNA is filed under the name Carlito syrichta (Philippine tarsier). The record is from RNAcentral. Lineage: Eukaryota; Metazoa; Chordata; Mammalia; Primates; Tarsiidae.
GUGCUCACUCCGGCAACACAUAUACUAAAUUGGAAUAACACAGAGAAGAUUAGCAUGGCCCCUGUGCAACAAUGACACGCAAAUUCGUGAUGCAUUCCAUAUUUUU